This is a long non-coding RNA of Fukomys damarensis (Damara mole-rat), 212 nucleotides long. RefSeq lists it as uncharacterized. The transcript is spliced from 3 exons. NCBI's taxonomy places the organism in Eukaryota, Metazoa, Chordata, Mammalia, Rodentia, Bathyergidae. The record is from RefSeq and is a predicted model, not a curated record.
ACUUGUAGGACGUCGGGAGCACUGCCGCUGAGGCCGCUGAGGGCUUGUUGGGCGAUGUCAUGUGCAGACAGGCUCCGAUCAGUGUUUCCAGCCACUUGCUAGAAUGAAAGCCUCAGCACAAAGAACCUUACCAGCAGAGAGAAAGGAUCAAGAAUCAGAUCUAGAAAGAGAUUAAUAAUGAAAAGCCUCAUCAUCUUUCCUGUGUGUGAGAU